Molecule: long non-coding RNA, 298 nt
Organism: Cloeon dipterum
Lineage: Eukaryota; Metazoa; Arthropoda; Insecta; Ephemeroptera; Baetidae
Exons: 3
Source: RefSeq, a predicted model, not a curated record
GAGUUACCCCUUCCGGACUUGCCAUCUGGCAAGAUCAAGUGCAAUCCGAUCGGUGGAAUCGUUGUGCAGUGUGUUUUGGCAACAAUCGUUGAUCAAUGCCCAUCAAGAGUUACGAGCAAUACCUGCAAAACUGACUACGCUUUGUUCGAUCAGUGCAAAAACUUUGUCACCGAUGCACUCACCAACAAAUCCAAAAAGAAAUAAAUAUGCUUAUACUUCUCUUAUUGUAAUUGGCAACCUUGUAUAUUUGGCACUUAAUUGGCAACCAAAUUUUUAAUAAAUAUACGAUAUUAUUGGA